AAAUAGAUGAGCGAUUGGUCUGAAGCUACAAGAGAGCCAAGAUGAUGCAAAAACUCUGUAGAAAAUCUAUGCCUUGGACAGUGAGCUGACCUUAGAUGCCAGGUAACCUAAGUGUGGGCCUGACUCUAGUGACAGUGACAUCAUCGCAAGAAAGUCAGUUGUUCUAGAUCUUAAUUUUACCAUCUAUAAAACUAGGAAAAAUAAUGUAAUACUUACUUUUUUUUUUUUUUAGGACAACAAAAUAUCAAAAUCACCUUCCUAAGGACCCAGCCUUGGUGAACAUAUUUGCCUAAUCAAAUGUCGAGUACACGCUCAGAAAAGAUUUUUGGACUUAUGAAAUUAUUUCUAUAAAAAUUCUUACCAAGAGGUAAACAUGAAAUCACAUUUGUUUAUAUAUUUUGUAAAUCUUCUUUAAUCGAAAGCAAUCAGAACAGCCCCAAAUUAAGACUAUCACAGAAAAUCUUGGACUUUGGGGCAUUAUUCAUUAGAGAAACAGUAAAAACAAAACAAAACAAAACAACCAAGAAAACCUAUGUCAUUCUACCUACUUUCUACCAUAGUUGCUACCUUAGCUCCAGAUCAUCAUUAUCCACUGAUACCCCACAUUCAAUCUGCAGACGGUCCUGGGCAUGGUCCUUCCUGCCCAGUAAGUGUGGGGAGUGUGUGUCCUUACUAUUAGAUGUUUAUGCUAUUCUUUGCUUCCAUGUUUUGGCUUCAUUGAGGUUUUAUUUGUGUAACAGUUGGUUAACUCUCAUCAAAACUGUAGGAGAUGAAAAAAAUCUUUCCUCUACCCUCUUAGGUUUGUACCUGGGGCUUGCAAAUUAAACUGACAAAGAUAGGUUAACAAGAGAAAAAGCAUUUAAUUUUAAUUGAUGUUAGUUGGGGUUUUUUGUUGUUGUUCUUGUUUAUUUUGGGUUUUGUUUUGUGGGUUUGUUUUUUUUUUUUUUUUACCUGCACAGGGGCUUCACAGAAAAAUGAAAACCAAAGAAGUGGUUAAACUUAAGAACUUCAAUGCCAUUUUAACAAAGGGUAAUAAAUUGUAGAAAAAUGACUAGACAAAGGGUGGUUCGGCUUCUAGGGCUGAUAAGUUAUGGAAAGACAACUAGGAAAUCUAUGGGAGGAAACUAACGUUAGAUAAAGAUUGUUUAUUAAGAUUUGUACAGACUCAUCUUGGUGCCAUCUCUGUCUCUGGUGGUUAAGGAUUGUUCUCCCCUUCCUUAUAUGGAAGGAGCCACCCGCACAAAGGAAAUUUAUGUGCUACUUUUAGGCAGAUGGGAAAGGGAACAGAGAGCUCUUCUUAUGUCUGUUUUUUUUUUUUUUUUCAAUUGCCUUCAGCUCAAAACAAUCCUUAUGCCAAAGUGGCAUAUUUGGGGAUGCUGUAUCCUGAUUCCCUUGAUAACCGUAUCACAGCUUGAGCAGGUACUGGGUAGUGCAAGGAAGGGUAUCAGAGUUUCAAUUUGAGCUUUGCUUGAGUGACAAACCGGUCCCACUUAGCCAAUCAGUGGCUUUAGAAACCCUUAAUCAUUUAGAAACCCUUAAGUCCUUAUUUCUGAGUUUUCAGGUAGACAGAAGGGAGAGGCCAAGAACCAACAACUCAUGAAUGAAAAAUUUCCACCUUUAAUUACCAAUUUUAGCAGAAAGCAAAAGGCCUUUGACAGUGCAGGAGAUUGAUCAGUUCACUCCAGUUGAAAUCAUCGUUUUCUGGGGUCAGGGCAUGAACAGCCUCUCCCAGCUGGAUAGGAUGCUCAGAUUACCAGCCCUGCAAAGGAACCAAGGGAGAAGCAGAGGCGAGGGGGAGCAAAAGGUCUCUGCUCUCUCCCUCAAGCUUCUCCGUGGGCUGGAGUCCCCAGAAGCUCUUGCAGAAUGACAGCCCCACCUGCCCACGCACCCUGGUCACGACACUGCCUCCAUGUUCUGCACCAGGAGCUGCCCCUCCUACAGUGCAAAUUCUCCUCCAUACAAUCUAAUCUGCUGCUUAAUCCAAUUUUUGUUUUUUAAAAGAAAUGAUUUGGGCCAGCCGGCAUCAACCUACAAAAGGAAAACAGCUAAACCUGCUCUAUUCUUUUCCAGAUAAGAAUUGUCUCUCUCUCUACCUUUUCAGCUGCGAUUAGCAUAACAAUCCCCAGGGGUUUGCUCACUGAGGGAAAUACCCAGGGUUCUCUUUAAGCAGUGGUUAAUUACAUCCUGCUAUUUAUCCCAUUGAUUAGAGGUUAACUAAUUUGCACCCAGCCAACUCCGUUUUUAAUCUAAUCUAUUUCUCUUUUUCCCCAGACUCCUGGUGUCCUGCAUCCUGUCUGUCACACAGUCUUCAACCUCCCUACCAAGGAAAAAGGUAAUGAGAACGGUCUUCUCCUCCAAGGACCAAAGGGCCCUUUUCAAAGCCCAUCUGGAUGCCCCUGCCUUGAACCUGAGCUAUAUCCUCUCCAGACCUGGCUUUCGUUUGGUGCAGUGGAAAAAGACACAGGCUUUGGAGCCAGACAAAUGUGGGUUUUGUGUGCUAACUUGGUCAUUUAGCCACCUGGGGAACUUUGGAUGAGUUCUGACCUUUACUUUCCACAUCCUCUCAAUGGGAGUGUUACUAAAUGCUUAGGCUAAUUUGGGAGAGUGUCGUUCUUCAAAAUUUAUUCCCUUUCUUUUCGAGAAUUUUUUAAGCUGGGAGAUGCCUGUGAGGCAGCAUUUCUUUUCUAAAUUUUUUUUUUAAUGUUUAUUUUUGAGAGAGAGAGAGAGAGUGGGGCAGAGAGAGAGGGAGACACAGAAUCCGAAGCAGGCUCCAGGCUCCGAGCUGUCAGCCCAGAGCCCGACGCGGGGCUCGAACUCCCGAACCGCGAGAUCAUGACCUGAGCCGAAGUCAGACGCUCAACCGACUGAGCCACUCAGGCGCCCCAGCUUUUCUGAUUCAUACAUCAGAAUCAGAGGUGCAACUGGCAAAACUCCAGGUGCGUUGAAAAGCCCGGGUAGGUACAGUAUCGUCAGGCCAGGCUACUGAGCUGGCCCAGCUGUUAAGCCAGGUGUUUGCCCAUCGGCCAAUGUGCCACAAAAGGCCCCUGGAUCCUUUCUGCUGCGUCCCGCUACCCUGGACUGCUCCGUGCUCCCCCCUCCCAUCCCCCUCCAUAUGUCUCCACCAACCCACGGAUCCCCACACACAUCUCACUGUAUCAGUGAGAACUUCUGUGACCCCUUCAGCAAGAAAGGCAACCCUUCCGGCUUCUGGCUUCCUCCAAUCCUUGCUGCCUUGCACUCAUUUCUUUCUUACUGUUUUCUGCACGGUACUUCUCCUUCCACCAAGAAAUGUGAGAAGUGCUCUUGAUGAAACGGUAGCCUCCAAUUCUACUCCUGGGCAAAGUGUCUUAGUUUGUUCAGGCUGCUAUAACAAAAUAGCACAGACAGAGCAGCUGAGACAACAGACAUUCAUUUCUCAGAGUUCUGGAGGCUGGGGAUUCUGCCCAAGAUCACCGUGCCGGCAGAUCUGGGGUCUGGUGGGGACCCGUUUUCUGGCUUCCAGGUGGCCGUCUUUCCAUGGCAUCAUAACCCGGUAGAGAAGGAGGACACAAGCUCUGGCCUGUCUCUACUUACAAGGACAAUUCAUGAGGGCUCCACCCUCAAGACCUAAUCACCCCCCAGAGCCCCACCUCUCGGGAGUACCAUCACCCUGGGAAUUAGGGUUUCAACAUCUGAAGUUUGAGGAGACACAAACAUUCAGUCUGCAGCAAGCUUCCCGCUUCCAGCCGGGGUUUUCCUGAUUUUCAAUGGCAGAAUUAAACUCAUCUUAGACAUUGCAGCAAAUUCACACGAAAGCCCCUGUCCAUAUCGUGAAUGGCAACACUGCAAGCUCUGUGCUUGAACCCUGAUGAAACUCCUACAAUCCUCAGGCCGAGCUCUAUGCAGAACAAGUGCCGAGGCUCCUUGUAUCGCCCCCCCUCCCCCCUCCUGUCUCCCUCUCCCCCUCCCCCCAGCGCCACCUCUGUGUUUCAUUUGUGCUCCUUACGGUCUUUCACACACCCUGCAGGAUUCACCUGCUCCAGCACACCAUCACUCUUGCUGGCUUCUCUGCCCACCAUUUCCUGCACCUUUUAUGUGGUUUUGAUGUUUGCAGCCGGGGGACCCAGGACCACAGCUCAGGUGCCUGGAGAGACCCAUCCAGACCCUUAGCCUCCAGCUAGUCCACGGGGCCAACUUCUCCUUGGACCCCUCUAGCCUGAGCAACUGUCCAAAGCUCCAGGCAGUUUCCAAUCCCGCCCUGAAGAGGCGUGUGCUUUGCAGGAACUUCUGACCAAACUAGCUGCUUCCGCUCAGCUGAGGCGCACAAAGGCAGUCACAUUGAAACAGGCUUAUGUGUGUAGAUGGCUGUGCAGAGCAGAACCCGAGCUAAAGGGUAUACUUCCUGGCCUGAGGCAUAAACACCACAUAUACUUUUUUUUUCUCCUUUCAUAAGGGAUAUUUUUCAGGCUUGUAAUGAAGUGUGGUCAGAAUGUAUUCGCUUCUAGAAUAUUAAGCCAGGCAGAGGUUUUUUUCCUUUUUUCUCUUUUAUACAUGUGAAUAAAAGUGGAGUAAACAGAGCAUACUGAUAAAUAUUUUACACAAAUGUCAGUGGAUGUAAUUCUAGAGCAGACAUUUUUCUGGGGGAUUUGGUGUUGGUUUAAAAGGAAAGGCAGGAGAUCAGACUAGGUACCUUUAGCAGUAGCUUCACAGAGUUUGGGUUGGGAAAAGCACAGAAAUGGUUUUUUAAAUUUUCAGGAUUUCCACUUGGAAGUUACCAAGGUUGAAAAAUACCAAACUGCGGAAUGCUAAAACUGUAGAUUCUUUUGGUCUUCCUUACGAGGACCCCUGUUUCUGUGCCUGCUCUCCACGUGGCUGAAGAAUCAAGAAAAAAUGUUGUGCGGGACACUUGGGUGGCUCAGACGGUUAAGUGGCUGCCUUUGGCUCAGUUCACGAUCUCACGGUUCAUGGGAUUGAGCCCCACAUCAGGCUCUUUGCUUGGUUCAGAUCCUCUGCUUCAGAUCCUCUCUCUCCCUCUCUCUCUCUGUCCCUCCCCUGCUCAUGCUCUCAAUCUCUCAAAAAAAAAAAAAAAAAAGUUGCAGAUGGGCUUAACCCUUCCCUGUAGGGCAGCUCUGACAGAGGCCUUUUCCUGUAUGAAAUUCCCCAAGAUUUCAGAAGAUAAAAUGUGUGUGUGUAUCUCUGUGCGUGGGCACAAAUACAUAUAUGCACACGCAUACCUGUGUGCACGUGUUUGUAUAUACAUACACAUCUGCACAAGUGUGUGUAUAUACAUUUUUUUUUUCUUCUUGAAACACCCAUUUCCAACCUCCCUGUCCCUACCUGGGCUCAUUUUUGUAAAACCUCCUUGUUCUGUCCCCACCCUUGCAAUUCAAAGGGGCUUUCUUCCUCUUCUGUUGUAUGUGUUAACUCCUGCUCGCUUGUGAUAAGAUGUAUUCAAAUUCAGUGCUCGCAAAAUUCAGAGACCGAUUUUAUUCCACCUCCAGUCUGGGUUUUCCCACGUGUCGGUGCUUCUUGAGUUAGUUACCGCUCUGGAAGGUCAGCAGCAAUCACUGGGUGAUGAUUGAUGCGGGGUGCUUGGGGGUGGACAGGGAGGAUCAGGGAGGAUCCAGGAGUGAGCCGUCUUGCAUUUCGUUCUCAUCAUUGCAGAGGAGAAUAGUAGUUGUUCAAAUGAGGCCCCGAGAAGAAGGGCCUGGACUCCUACCUGGCCAGUGCCUCAAGGUCAGCUCGUGCCUGUCAUCAGGGAGGGUCUGUGUCUGUCUCUCUGAAUCCCUCCUGUGCUUCUUCUAGUUCUGUUGUGUGGGGGUUUUUUUAAGUUUAUUUAUUUAUUUUGAGACAGACCGAGACGGUAUGAGGGGAGGGGCAGAGAGAGAGAGGGAGAGAGAGAAUCCCAAGCAGGUUCCUCACUGUCAGCACAGAGUCCGGCAUGGGGCUCGAACUCAUGAAACCACGAGAUCAUGACCCGAGCUGAAACCAAGAGUCAGUCACUGAACCAACUGAGCCAGACAGGUGCCCCCACUUGUAGUCCUAUUUUGAAAGGACUGAGCAACCUCUUCUGCCUACUUCUUGGAUGGGGCUCCUUUCUGAACAUGACUCCAUGUCAAAUACCCUGCCAGGGUGUAGACCACAAUGAGCACCCAGAAAAUGGGGACCUGAAGGGGCGCCUGGGUGGCGCAGUCGGUUAAGCGUCCGACUUCAGCCAGGUCACGAUCUCGCGGUCUGUGAGUUCGAGCCCCACGUCAGGCUCUGGGCUGAUGGCUCGGAGCCUGGAGCCUGUUUCCGAUUCUGUGUCUCCCUCUCUCUCUGCCCCUCCCCCGUUCAUGCUCUGUCUCUCUCUGUCCCAAAAUAAAUAAACGUUGAAAAAAAAAAAAAAUUAGAAAAUGGGGACCUGCUUUAGUCAGCUUGGGCUGCUAUAAGAAAGGACACAGACACAGACACAGUGGCUUAACCAGCAGGAAUUUAUUUUCUCGGUUCUGGAGGCCCGAAGUCCAAGAUCAAGGUACCGGCAGGGGUGGUUCCUUCUGAGGCCUCUCCCCUUGGUUCAUGGGUGGCUGGCUUCUCUCUGUGUCCUCACAGUGGCCUUUCUUACUUUCCUCUUCUUAUAAGGACACCAAUCAUAUUGGAUUAGGGCCCACCCUUAUGACUUCAUCUUAACUUAAUUAUCUCUUCAAAAACCCCAUCUCCAAAUACAUACAUCAUAUCCUGAGGUACGGGGAGUUAGGAUUUUAACGUAUGAAUUUUGGUGACACAACAGAGCUGCUGUUAACUCUUCCCAGAAAGAGGCUUGAAAUCUUCAAUAUCAUUCUUCUUGACACUCUCCCCAGGAGGUAGUUCUGUGUGGCUGAGAGAACUCAGGUUCUAGAAUCAGCCGGAACUGGAUUUGAAUCCCAGAUUGGUCCUUUCUAGCUGUGUGCCCUUAGGUCGGUUACUUAAUGUUUCUGAGUUCCAGUUUCCUCUGCUGACAAAUGGGCCACAACCCACACACCUUAGGAGCAGCCCAAGGAUUCAAUAUAAUGACGUAAAAGAGCCUGGCAUGCUACCUGGUUCGAGACGCAUGUCUCCUACCUUACCUCUUGACUCAUUCACUUCUCGGAGGUCCCCAAGCACAUGCCCAUCUAGAGAUCAGACAGGUACAUUUAUUUCUGACCAAGAGAGCAAUUGCCUGCUGGGUCAAUAGCUUAUGCGCCCCUCAGGAUAUCUCAGAACCUCAAGGGAAGGAUCUUUGUCUCCUGGGGCCCCGCGCUGUUCCUGGAUCCCACAUGCACAGCUGAACCUGCUUUGUGCUCCUGGACCUUCCCUCCAGCAGCUCCUUCCCCUGCUGGGCUGGGGGUGGGGGAGGGCUAGGGAGCCUCAACUCCAAGGGUGCUUGUCCCAGGGCAGGCAAGGGGAGGGCAGAGGUCUCCUGGUGGAGAGGCCAACGUGGCCACAGAAAGAAAUCGAAAUGCUCGAGCCUUGGAUUGGGGCCAAGGCAAAUCUGCUUGUACUAGGUUGUCAGAUUCCAGGGAUGAGCAGUUUCCCAGGCUGUGGAAGGUGACCUAUGGCUUGUCAGGAGAGCCAGAAGCAAUUGCUAAGAGCAGUUGAGGAGAGUGAGGGCGACAAGGGAGAGUGCCAGAUUCGCUGGGAGAGCUUGGCUCUCCUUGCUUUAGAAGGCAGUGUAUGGAGGACAUCCCUGAAGAUAGAGAAGGAGUUUCUAGAUCAGAAGGCAUGUUGCAGGGCUGCUGGAAUCAGCACUUUCCAAGUACCNNNNNNNNNNNNNNNNNNNNNNNNNNNNNNNNNNNNNNNNNNNNNNNNNNNNNNNNNNNNNNNNNNNNNNNNNNNNNNNNNNNNNNNNNNNNNNNNNNNNNNNNNNNNNNNNNNNNNNNNNNNNNNNNNNNNNNNNNNNNNNNNNNNNNNNNNNNNNNNNNNNNNNNNNNNNNNNNNNNNNNNNNNNNNNNNNNNNNNNNNNNNNNNNNNNNNNNNNGGUGGCGGUUUUCUCUCUUGCCUCUCUUUUGCCUGUUCCUGCCCUUCCUAGCCUAGUUCCUAACUUCUCCAGAAGGUGCUGAAAUGGGAAAGUUGACAGAGAAGCAACUAGGAUAUGCUUGGCAAGGGUAGGAACUGUGUUAGAGUUAUUUGGGUACUGUGUCCUUAAAAGUACCCCCUUUCUUGGGGUGCCUGGGUGGCUCAGUCCGUUGAGCGUCAGACUUCAGCUCAGGUCCUGAUCUCAAGGUUCGUGAGUUCCAGCCCCGCAUUGGUGUCUGUGCUGACAGCUCAGAACCUGGAGCCUGCUUCCGAUUCUGUGUCUCCCUCUCUCUCUGCCCUCCCCUGCUCAUGCUCUCUCUCUCUCUCAAAAAGUAAAUAAACAUUGGAAAAAAAUUAAAAAUAAAAAAGUACCCCCUUUCUUCCCAAUGCAGCAGAAAAGAGACAAAGGUUGGGUAAACACUGGUCAUUCCAUAGCCCAAGCGUCUGCCGGAAGCUCCGCUGGGGAGCGGGGAAGAGAAGUGGUGCACAGGCAGAGGAAUCCCCAGCCCUCUCCCUACAUCCAUGAAGACGCAGAUGUCUCUUGGCCCAACCAUCUCCCACCAAAACGGGUGGUGCGUCCACAGCCUUUUCCCCACACUGCUGCGGGAUUAACUUUCUUAAACACAGCUCCGAUCGUACCUCUUGAUUUUAAACGUCUGAUGACUCUAUUGCUGGCCACGUUCAAGGAGUCUACCCCGAAACAUCUGCUUCCUCUCCCAACAUCUUUGACCCUUUGUCCGGAGUCACCCUUUGCCCUGUGUCUUCCUUGGAUGUGCUCUGUAUUUUCUCUCCUGAGCGCUUUGGCUCACACGUGUCCUUCUCCCGGGUCUCUCCAGACAGCCGAAAGAAGCGCGCGCCCCGCUCUGCGCAUGCGUGGACGAAUUUGCACGCUGUGUGAUUCCCGGUCCGCUCCCACCCGGGCCUCAUGGAACCCAUCGUGGGUCUGUUUGACGGUCACCCCACAUCCGAGUGAUGCAAAACGAGAACAGUAACCCGUCUCAAGAAGAGACUUCAAACUUCCCUUUUGAGUCAACUGGAAAUUUGGACAAAACUUCUGUUGACAUUAUAUCUGCCCCUUUCACUUUCGGUUCACGGAGACGCACUGACAUUUCUGAAAGGAUGUGGCUCUUCCUAGUGUGGCAAACGAUACAUUCAUGCCUAUGCACUUACAGGGAUGGUCUUUGUUCCUUGUCAUGAUCAAAUGCUCUGUUUUCUUGACUCUCCAGCCAAAAGUAAUCCUCUUUUCUUUUCAACUCUUUCAGCACUCCAUUUUUUCUUGAUUCAGUUAACAAACACGCAGGCAUUGUUAUUCUACCAGGCACUGUUAUUUGUACCGGGUGGUGGUGGUCAGCAGGACCAAUUUAUUGGUCAAUAAAUUACGAUGAAAACCC
Molecule: long non-coding RNA, 9383 nt
Filed under: Lynx pardinus (Iberian lynx)
Lineage: Eukaryota; Metazoa; Chordata; Mammalia; Carnivora; Felidae
Source: RNAcentral